Molecule: long non-coding RNA, 1509 nt
Filed under: Anolis carolinensis (green anole)
Lineage: Eukaryota; Metazoa; Chordata; Lepidosauria; Squamata; Anolidae
Description: lncRNA (ENSACAG00000035538.1)
Source: RNAcentral
GGAUGAAGUGCCGAUGAUACUUUGCUCUGGAAGACAGCUGUGAUGGGGAAAACCCUUUCAUCUGACAAAAGUGUUUUGCCAUCCAACUAAUCAAAGGAUUUUCUUUAGUUAACGGAAGCUGUAAAAUUGAUCACCGGGAAGUAUGAAUUACUUGGAAUGGAUCAGUAGACACCAUAUACAUGAAUACAGUCCUGUAAGACCCAGACUGGUACGUAUGUCAUCUAUGGUCCCUAGAAAUUAUUAUUCUACUAUUAGGGAUUUAUCUUAACAUAAAUGCAGUGUUGACCAUAUACUGUAAUAACACUUACACUAAAAACAUAAAUGCAAAUUAUGAUCAGACUCAGAGAAAAUGACUCCUUUCAAAUUCUUUUAAUACUACAGUUGAUGAAAUGGAACACUAAAAUAUCUCUGUCAAAUUGAAACGAAGUCCAGUUAUCAUGUCUGCACAAUGGCCAAAGUGAUGCCUAUGAAAAAUCUUUAGAUAGGAAAGAAGUUUAAUGGUAUCCAUGAAUUGGAAAACAAAGGGUGGGAAGUUGGCAUCCCACCCUGAGACUGGGCUGGAGUCACCCCCCCCCCCCCCCCCAAAUUAUUUGGCAAGAUCAGAACACUAAGACCACUAUCUAGUGGAGACUCUUCUGGCAUGAUCAGACACAAGUGCACUAAAUGAUCAACAACUAAGAAAUAUUAAAACAGUAAGUGUUAUUGAGCCUCCCAGGACUAAUAAAGACUGCCCAUAAUCUAUCUAUCUAACAACAACAACAACAACAACAACAACAACAACAACAACACCAAUGCCUUUAUUUUUGUAUCCCGCCUCCAUCUCCCCGAAGGGAUUCAAAGCAGCUUACAUGGGGACAAGCCUGAUCAAAAUCUAUAUAUAUAAAAUGAUAAAGUUGUUUGCGCAGUGACUAUAACAACAAAACUAAACAUCCUAGAAAUACGAAAUUUGGCAACACAAUGCAAAAGGCUUGCCUCCAGGUUACAACAACACAACCACACCACAAAACCACAAUCCAGACCCACAAAACUCACAACAUCGCAUCAUGCAAUAACAACACAACUAAACGCCCCAGAAAUACAAAACUUGGCAACACAAUGCAAAAGCCUUCCCUCCCAGUUGGAACAACACAACCACACCACAAAACCACACAGGACCCACAAAACUCACAACAACGCAUCGUGACUAUAACAAAUACAAAACUUGGCAACACAACACAAAAACCUUGCCUCCCAGUUGGAACAACACAACCACACCACAAAACCACACAGGACCCACAAAACUCACAACAACGCAUCGUGACUAUAACAAAUACAAAAUUUGACAACACAACUCAUCCACCUCCCCAAUCCCUACAUUCACACUUGGCCUCCAAAAAAACAAUUACAAUAAUAACAAUGACAACAACAACAACAAUAAGAAUCAACACCAUCACAGGCAAGAAACAGCCAGGCACUGAGGCUGAGAGGCCAUUCAGUGCUACACUGGGCCUCCAAAAAACAAUACAGUAG